UAACACGUGAGUAACCUGCCCCCGAGAGUGGGAUAGCCCUGGGAAACUGGGAUUAAUACCGCAUAGAAUCGCAAGAUUAAAGCAGCAAUGCGCUUGGGGAUGGGCUCGCGGCCUAUUAGUUAGUUGGUGAGGUAACGGCUCACCAAGGCGAUGACGGGUAGCCGGUCUGAGAGGAUGUCCGGCCACACUGGAACUGAGACACGGUCCAGACACCUACGGGUGGCAGCAGUCGAGAAUCAUUCACAAUGGGGGAAACCCUGAUGGUGCGACGCCGCGUGGGGGAAUGAAGGUCUUCGGAUUGUAAACCCCUGUCAUGUGGGAGCAAAUUAAAAAGAUAGUACCACAAGAGGAAGAGACGGCUAACUCUGUGCCAGCAGCCGCGGUAAUACAGAGGUCUCAAGCGUUGUUCGGAAUCACUGGGCGUAAAGCGUGCGUAGGCUGUUUCGUAAGCCGUGUGUGAAAGGCGCGGGCUCAACCCGCGGACGGCACAUGAUACUGCGAGACUAGAGUAAUGGAGGGGGAACCGGAAUUCUCGGUGUAGCAGUGAAAUGCGUAGAUAUCGAGAGGAACACUCGUGGCGAAGGCGGGUUCCUGGACAUUAACCGACGCUGAGGCACGAAGGCCAGGGGAGCGAAAGGGAUUAGAUACCCCUGUAGUCCUGGCAGUAAACGGUGCACGCUUGGUGU
RNAcentral lists this ribosomal RNA (686 nucleotides) under uncultured bacterium. RNAcentral's name for it is "bacterial SSU rRNA". It matches the Rfam family "Bacterial small subunit ribosomal RNA", at positions 111 to 823 of the family's 1533-position model. The record is from RNAcentral.